ACCUCUCACCUUUGACGGUUUCUAAUGACCGUUCAAAUGCGUGGAUUUGGGUGUCUGCCUGGUGAACAACCUUAUGGCUCGCCUUAAAAGUAUUAGCUCGGUUCUAGUUCCAUGGCCUGAGGCGUAAUAAGUUAUUCGUCUCUGGGACUUGGUCUGGUCGGCUUCCAAUACCCAUCUAAUCUCUUG
This 186-nucleotide unclassified non-coding RNA is filed under the name uncultured Bullera. RNAcentral's name for it is "sequence contains ITS2". RNAcentral also lists the same sequence under 1 other name. Lineage: Eukaryota; Fungi; Basidiomycota; Tremellomycetes; Tremellales. The record is from RNAcentral.